RNAcentral lists this transfer RNA (67 nucleotides) under Marmota monax (woodchuck). Its description in RNAcentral is "tRNA.Val". The record is from RNAcentral. Lineage: Eukaryota; Metazoa; Chordata; Mammalia; Rodentia; Sciuridae.
GGUUGUGGCUCAGUGGAAGAGCAUUCGACUAACACAUGUGAGGCGCUGGGUUCGAUCCUCAGCACCA